UUCUUUUUUUUUUUUUUUUCGAGACAGAGUCUAGCUCUGUCACCCAGGCUGGAGUGCAGGGGCACCAUCUUGGUUCACUGCAACCUCCACCUCCCAGGUUCAAGUGAUUCUCCUGCCUUAGCCUCCUGAGUAGCUGGGAUUGCAGGCGCAUGCCACCACACCUGGCUAAUUUUUGUGUUUUUAGUAGAGAUGGGGUUUCACCAUUUUGGCCAGGUUGGUCUCGAACUCCUGACCUCAGGUAAUUAGCCCACCUCGGCCUCCCAAAGUGCCGGGAUUACAGGCAUAAGCUAACACGCCCAGCCUACAAUUUCAAAUAUAUGGAUCCUUAAAACAGUUCUGUGAGGUCAAAGCGGUAGGUUUUAUCCCUAUUUUGCAGAUUAGGAAAUGAGGUCCAGAGCAGUGAUUUUUUUUUUUUCAAGAGUAUUUAAGUAAUUUUUUUUUUUUACAGAACCAGUACUAGAACACAGGUCUUCUGACUUUUGAGCUUUUUGCUCUUCAGCUUUUCCUUAUAAAUAAAUGUUUGGAUUAAUGGAUUGAUGUCAAAAAUAGGUUCCUUUUAGUGUUUGCUCCUUCCGACUCCACUCAGAUUCUUUUUUUAAAAUUUCUUUCUAAAAAAGCAUAACUCAGAUUCUUAAUACAGAUUGUUCCAAAGCACAUUAGGAUGGUGGAGUUAUUCUUACCAACUUCAGUCUGAAUUACUUUUAAAUUUGUCCCCAAAGGUGGUUUUGACAUUAUGGGUUUUACUCUGAUCUUUAUUCUCGUGUCUUCUGAAGUUCCGUGUAAUAGAUACUCUAACCCAAGAAGUGAUGGCUAUUUAGAUUUUCUUUUGCAUACAAUUCUCAUUCCCAAAGAUGUCUCCCUUUGGUUGUCCAAAAAGCUUUCUGAGGUAUAGUUACUUUUAGAAGAGGAAAUACCGUUUUAAUUCAUUUGUGCUCUUGAGAUUGUGUAUGUGUGGUAGGUGUUUUUGUUGUAUUAUUACAGGUUGAUGAAAAGCCCAGAACCUUGAUGACAGAUUGUCUGGUUAUAAAGCAUUUUUUACGUAAAAUCAUCAUGGUGCACCCUAAGGUCAGAUUUCAUUUCAGUGUAAAGGUAAAUGGAAUCCUCUCCACAGAGAUCUUUGGGGUGGAGAAUGAACCCACUUUGAACCUUGGGAAUGGAAUUGCUCUUUUGGUCGACUCCCAGCAUUAUGUGAGGUGAAGGCGUAAAGCCUUGUUGUCCCUCUGCAUGUUUUACUCUCCUCUCGAGUACGAAUGUGGGUAGAAAUUGGAAAUUGUCUCACUUGUCAUUUGUAAGUGCCAGGUGUCAGCUUCUCUAUAAGAAAAGCAGAAGUAAAACUUUUUUUUAUGUUGAAAACUGCUAUUUUAAGUUAUUUAUGUAUUUGAAUCUAUUCUAAAUGACCUGAAGACAUGUGCCUUCUUCUCUUCAGGCCUUAUUUUACACAGACCCUGCUAGUUCCAAUCCCAUUUAGGCAUGAGAAGAGAAGACUAUGAAUUUAAAACUUUACUUGAAUUCUUGGCUAGAGAGAUAGUAUGAAUACAAAGGAAUUCAGUGUACAUUAUUUUCUGUGCAUCAGCAUUUUGCAUAGGUUUGGAAAUCAUCUCUCUGCCCAUCUCCAUCUUCUUCAGACUCCAAGAAAGUAAAUCUGGCCAGGCGCAGUGGCUCAUGCCUAUAAUCCCAGCACUUUGGGAGGCUGAAGUUGAUGGAUCACUUGAGGUUAAGAGUUUGAGACCAGCCUGGCCAACAUGGCAAAACCCUGUCUCUGCUAAAAAUACAAAAAUUAGCUGGGCAUGGUAGCACAUGCCUGUAAUCCCAGCUACUUGGGAGGCCAAAGCAUGAGAAUCACUUGAACCCAGGAGGUGGAGGUUGCAGUGAGCCGAGAUCACGCCACUGCACUCCAGCGACAGAGCAAGACUCUGUCUC
This 1920-nucleotide long non-coding RNA is filed under the name Homo sapiens (human). RNAcentral describes it as "HSALNT0177119". Lineage: Eukaryota; Metazoa; Chordata; Mammalia; Primates; Hominidae. The record is from RNAcentral.